This 467-nucleotide ribosomal RNA is filed under the name uncultured bacterium. RNAcentral's name for it is "bacterial SSU rRNA". It matches the Rfam family "Bacterial small subunit ribosomal RNA", at positions 1035 to 1498 of the family's 1533-position model. The record is from RNAcentral.
CAGGUGGUGCAUGGCUGUCGUCAGCUCGUGUCGUGAGAUGUUGGGUUAAGUCCCGCAACGAGCGCAACCCUUGUCCUAUGUUGCCAGCACGUAAUGGUGGGGACUCAUGGGAGACUGCCGGGGACAACUCGGAGGAAGGCGAGGACGAUGUCAAGUCAUCAUGCCCCUUAUAUCCAGGGCUGCACGCAUGCUACAAUGGGCGGUACAGUGGGCCGCGAUCUCGCAAGAGUGAGCCAAUCCCUCAAAGCCGUCCCCAGUUCGGAUUGAAGUCUGCAACUCGACUUCAUGAAGCCGGAGUCGCUAGUAAUCGUAGAUCAGCAAAGCUACGGUGAAUACGUUCUCGGGGCUUGUACACACCGCCCGUCACAUCACGGAAGUCGGUAACACCCGAAGUCAGCGGCCUAACCCCUCGGGGGAGGAGCUGCCUAAGGUGGGAUUGGUGACUGGGAUGAAGUCGUAACAAGGUA